AGAGAAGCGAUACCGCGNGGAGGAGCAAAUCUGAAAAAAGACGUCCCUAGUUCGGAUUGUAGUCUGCAACCCGACUACAUGAAGCUGGAAUCGCUAGUAAUCGCGAAUCAGAAUGUCGCGGUGAAUACGUUCCCGGGUCUUGUACACACCGCCCGUCACACCAUGGGAGUCGGAAAUGCCCGAAGUCAGUGACCUAACCGAAAGGGAGGAGCUGCCGAAGGUGGAGCCGGUAACUGGGGUGAAGUCGUAACAAGGUAUC
RNAcentral lists this ribosomal RNA (259 nucleotides) under uncultured bacterium. RNAcentral describes it as "partial 16S ribosomal RNA". It matches the Rfam family "Bacterial small subunit ribosomal RNA", at positions 1243 to 1500 of the family's 1533-position model. The record is from RNAcentral.